Molecule: ribosomal RNA, 497 nt
Filed under: uncultured bacterium
Lineage: Bacteria
Description: partial 16S ribosomal RNA
Rfam family: Bacterial small subunit ribosomal RNA
Source: RNAcentral
GAUGAACGCUGGCGGCGUGCCUAAUACAUGCGAGUCGAGCGAACAGAUGAGGAGCUUGCUCCUCUGACGUUAGCGGCGGACGGGUGAGUAACACGUGGAUAACCUACCUAUAAGACUGGGAUAACUUCGGGAAACCGGAGCUAAUACCGGAUAAUAUAUUGAACCGCAUGGUUCAAUAGUGAAAGACGGUUUUGCUGUCACUUAUAGAUGGAUCCGCGCCGCAUUAGCUAGUUGGUAAGGUAACGGCUUACCAAGGCGACGAUGCGUAGCCGACCUGAGAGGGUGAUCGGCCACACUGGAACUGAGACACGGUCCAGACUCCUACGGGAGGCAGCAGUAGGGAAUCUUCCGCAAUGGGCGAAAGCUUGACGGAGCAACGCCGCGUGAGUGAUGAAGGUCUUCGGAUCGUAAAACUCUGUUAUUAGGGAAGAACAAAUGUGUAAGUAACUAUGCACGCCUUGACGGUACCUAAUCAGAAAGCCACGGCUAACUACGUG